This 602-nucleotide long non-coding RNA is filed under the name Gossypium barbadense (sea-island cotton). RNAcentral describes it as "long non-coding RNA (GBAR_LNC018843)". Lineage: Eukaryota; Viridiplantae; Streptophyta; Magnoliopsida; Malvales; Malvaceae. The record is from RNAcentral.
AAAAUCCUAAAACUCUCUCUCCCCUCUCUUUCUCCGUUCCUCUCUCCGGCCAGGGCUCGGUCGCCGGCGCCGCUGUAUGCGGCGGUCGAAGGGCCAAAAAAAUCUAUUUUUUUCAGGCGAUUUGAUAGCAGGUAAUGUUCUCUUUUUCUACUUUCUGUCAAUAUGUAUGGAUGUAUGCGUAAUAUAUAAACAAAUACCUAUGUUAGUGGAUGGUUUCGAAAAAAAGAAAAAUAAAUAAAAAAGAAAACUUGGCUUUCCUUUUCUGUUUGUGACUUUCUUUUUGCGUGAAUCUGUUGUUUUUUUGUAUUUUUAAGUAACACUUUGUAUAAAAAAACACCGGAAGAAACAGAUUAUAGCCAAGUUCGGCUUUUAUACAUCUUUAUUACUAGUGCUGUCGUUUCUCUUUAAAUGUUUGCAGGUACUUGAUGGCACGACAAUGGCGGUGGAGCAGAGGGCAGAGGUAAGUGCACCACUUGCUAUGACGUGACAGGUGCUGUGGCACUAGGGUUUCAAUCUCUAAAAAACUAGUUUACUCUUUGCUGGGUUUGGGCUUAGUCCUUUAGUUUGGGCCCCAGGUGUAAUUGGGUUUGAGUAAAAUUGGG